AAGUCGUAACAAGGUAACCGUAGGUGAACCUGCGGUUGGAUCAUUAAUAAAUCUAGAAGGUCUUCAAGACCUCUCUAACAUCUUGUGAAUCGUUUAUGUCUCUGGCAGGCAGGGUGGCAACACUUUAGGCUGCCGAGUAAACUUUGUAUUUUUCUUUUGUCUAAAAAACUAUAAAAGUAAUUAAAACAACUUUUGACAACGGAUCUCUAGGCUCUC
Molecule: unclassified non-coding RNA, 216 nt
Filed under: fungal sp.
Lineage: Eukaryota; Fungi
Also listed under: 1 other name
Description: partial internal transcribed spacer region
Rfam family: Eukaryotic small subunit ribosomal RNA (bases 1-46)
Source: RNAcentral